This 913-nucleotide long non-coding RNA is filed under the name Nicotiana tabacum (common tobacco). Its description in RNAcentral is "long non-coding RNA (NTAB_LNC019186)". Lineage: Eukaryota; Viridiplantae; Streptophyta; Magnoliopsida; Solanales; Solanaceae. The record is from RNAcentral.
AACCCUAAGAGACCCCAUCAAAUUUUCUUCUUGAACAAGGACAAGAGCUAACCAUGGAGAACCUGGACUAACCUAACAACAGCAGCCUAGCCGUCCCCUCUUCUUCUUCAACCUCUUGAACAACCAAAGAACUCGGACAAACAAACCCAAAAAUACCUAAGAGAAGACUCUAGCAGCCACCCUCACACUCACAACGCCGCCAGCCACCCUCCCAACACCCAAAGACACCACCCUUCAGCAACCUAGAACAGCAGCGGCCAAACAGACCCAUCAUUAACCACAGCCGCUGUCAGACCCGCCGGAAACACAAGAGCAGCGGCGCCUCAUCUUUUCACAUCUCCACAAGCCGCCAUCGCUGACUCUCACACCCAUAUCUUAUUCUCGCUUGAUACACACGCAAAGACAAGAGGAAACGGCACACCCAAUUCAAAAGACCAGCCGCCCGAUGACCCCCAUGUCGAUUUGGAUUAAGAAAAUGGCUCUGUGAAUGAAAUUUUUUCUUUGAUUCCUUAUGUCUUUUCAUUUCGUAUUCGGAUUUUUGGCUGCCGUUGAGGCCCGUUGUGGUUCGGUUCGCGUUUCUGCUUGAAGUUUGAUUGUCGUGUCUAGUCUCGGUCGUGACUGCCCCUUUGCUUCUGUCCGUGAAUUGCUGAAAUUAUACUAAUUGAAAGUAUUAUUUUCAGGUCUGAUCCUUUCCCUCUACUUUUGUGUUGAUUUGAGUAUGAUGGGAGCUUGGGAUACAAAAUAGAAAUUGAUUCGAAUUUUAGCUCAUAUAUUGGCGUGCUCCGUUAUCUUCACUUGUCAUUAUGAGUUAAUAUAAAACAUCAGUCCAAUAUUAUUUUCAUACCAUGAGAAUUACUGCUAAUACAAUUAAUUUGAUAGUAUAGUUAUUAUAAAAAGUUGACUUAUAAUAUUC